This 301-nucleotide ribosomal RNA is filed under the name uncultured bacterium. RNAcentral's name for it is "partial 16S ribosomal RNA". It matches the Rfam family "Bacterial small subunit ribosomal RNA", at positions 509 to 807 of the family's 1533-position model. The record is from RNAcentral.
CAGUCGCCACGGGAAUACGUAGGGAGCAAGCGUUGUUCGGAUUUACUGGGCGUAAAGGGCGCGUAGGCGGCGCGGUAAGUCACUUGUGAAAUCUCUGAGCUUAACUCAGAACGGCCAAGUGAUACUGCUGUGCUAGAGUGCGGAAGAGGCAACCGGAAUUCUUGGUGUAGCGGUGAAAUGCGUAGAUAUCAAGAGGAACACCUGAGGCGAAGGCGGGUUGCUGGGCCGACACUGACGCUGAUGCGCGAAAGCCAGGGGAGCAAACGGGAUUAGAUACCCCCGUAGUCCCUGUCUCUUAUAC